This 204-nucleotide long non-coding RNA is filed under the name Nicotiana benthamiana. RNAcentral describes it as "long non-coding RNA (NBEN_LNC000133)". Lineage: Eukaryota; Viridiplantae; Streptophyta; Magnoliopsida; Solanales; Solanaceae. The record is from RNAcentral.
GAUUGACGGGGACGUCACCUAUCGAAUAGGAGCGGGGUGGUCAAAGUGGAGGCUUGCUUCAGUGGUCCUGUGUGACAAGAAAAUUUCACACAAACUUAAGGGGAAAUUCUACAGAGCCGUGGUUAGACCUGCGAUGUUGUGUGGGGCGGAGUGCUGGCCCGUGAAGAACUCCCAUGUUCAGAGAAUGAAGGUUGCGGAGAUGAG